GCCCGGAUAGUUUAACGGUUAGAACAUGGGUCUCAUAUUCAAGGAUAUGAGCGAGCACAGCCCGUAUAACCCCAUUCGCCUGACACAGGUGAUCCCAAGAUCUGAGUUCGAUUCUCAGUCCAGGCA
Molecule: transfer RNA, 126 nt
Filed under: Hortaea werneckii
Lineage: Eukaryota; Fungi; Ascomycota; Dothideomycetes; Mycosphaerellales; Teratosphaeriaceae
Also listed under: 1 other name
Description: tRNA-Met
Rfam family: tRNA
About the family: Transfer RNA (tRNA) molecules are approximately 80 nucleotides in length. Their secondary structure includes four short double-helical elements and three loops (D, anti-codon, and T loops).
Source: RNAcentral